UGAGAAUUUGAUCUUGGUUCAGAUUGAAUGCUGACGGCGUGGAUGAGGCAUGCAAGUCGAACGGAUGUAUAGAUUUCGGUCUAUAUAUUAGUGGCGGAAGGGUUAGUAAUACAUGGAUGACGUAGCUUUUACCUGGGGAUAACGGCUGGAAACGGCCGCUAAUACCGAAUGAGGUUUUAUAAAUACGUUUAUAAAAUCAAAGUUGGGGAUCUUCGGACCUAGCGGUAAAAGAUCGGUUCAUGGGAUAUCAGCUUGUUGGUGAGGUAAAAGCUCACCAAGGCUAAGACGUCUAGGCGGAUUGAGAGAUUGACCGCCAACACUGGGACUGAGACACUGCCCAGACUCCUACGGGAGGCUGCAGUCGAGGAUCUUUCGCAAUGGGCGAAAGCCUGACGAAGCGACGCCGUGUGAACGAAGAAGGCCUUCGGGUUGUAAAGUUCUUUCGCCUGGGAACAAGGGAUAUAUAUAAAUAGUAUAUAAACUUGAGGGUACCAGGUAAAGAAGCACCGGCUAACUCCGUGCCAGCAGCUGCGGUAAUACGGAGGGUGCAAGCAUUAAUCGGAUUUAUUGGGCGUAAAGGGCGCGUAGGUGGUAUAUCAAGUCAUAUGUGAAAUUCCAAGGCUCAACCUUGGAGCUGCAUGUGAAACUGAUAUUCUAGAGGUAAGGCGGAGAAAACGGAAUUUCCCGUGUAGCGGUGAAAUGCGUGGAUAUGGGAAGGAACACCGGUGGCGAAGGCGGUUUUCUAGCCUUUACCUGACACUGAGGCGCGAAAGCGAGGGGAGCAAACAGGAUUAGAUACCCUGGUAGUCCUCGCCGUAAACGUUGCAUACUUGAUGUGAUUGGGCUCAACCCCAAUUGUGUCGGAGCUAACGCGAUAAGUAUGCCGCCUGGGGAGUACGCUCGCAAGGGUGAAACUCAAAAGAAUUGACGGGGGCCCGCACAAGCAGUGGAGCAUGUGGUUUAAUUCGAUGCAACGCGAAGAACCUUACCCAGACUUGACAUGCAGAGUACGAUAUGAGAGAUCAUAUUUCCUUUAGGGGGCUCUGUGCAGGUGCUGCAUGGCUGUCGUCAGCUCGUGCCGUGAGGUGUUGGGUUAAGUCCCGCAACGAGCGCAACCCUUAUCGUUAGUUGCCAACAGGUAAUGCUGGGAACUCUAACGAGACUGCCUAGGUUAACUAGGAGGAAGGUGAGGAUGACGUCAAGUCAGCAUGGCCCUUAUGUCUGGGGCUACACACGUGCUACAAUGGUAGGUACAGAGGGUCGCCAAACCGUGAGGUGGAGCAAAUCCCAAAAAACCUAUCUCAGUUCGGAUUGUAGUCUGCAAUUUGACUACAUGAAGCUGGAAUUGCUAGUAAUGGCGCGUCAGCAAUAGCGCCGUGAAUACGUUCUCGGGCCUUGUACACACCGCCCGUCACAUCAUGGAAGUUGGUUUUACCCGAAGUCGCUGACUUAACCGCAAGGGAAGAAGCGCCGAAGGUGAGGCUGAUGACUGGGAUGAAGUCGUAACAAGGUAGCCCUAUCGGAAGGUGGGGCUGGAUCACCUCCU
RNAcentral lists this ribosomal RNA (1546 nucleotides) under marine sediment metagenome. Its description in RNAcentral is "bacterial SSU rRNA". It matches the Rfam family "Bacterial small subunit ribosomal RNA". The record is from RNAcentral.